UACAGAGGGGGCAAGCGUUGUUCGGAAUUACUAGGCGUAAAGGGCGCGUAGGCGGCCUUCUAAGUCGAACGUGAAAUCCCCGGGCUCAACCCGGGAACUGCGUCCGAUACUGGAAGGCUUGAAUCCGGGAGAGGGAUGCGGAAUUCCAGGUGUAGCGGUGAAAUGCGUAGAUAUCUGGAGGAACACCGGUGGCGAAGGCGGCAUCCUGGACCGGCAUUGACGCUGAGGCGCGAAAGCCAGGGGAGCAAACGGG
RNAcentral lists this ribosomal RNA (253 nucleotides) under uncultured bacterium. RNAcentral's name for it is "partial 16S ribosomal RNA". It matches the Rfam family "Bacterial small subunit ribosomal RNA", at positions 524 to 776 of the family's 1533-position model. The record is from RNAcentral.